AUCUUCAUUGGCUCGCUGGGUAACCAGGCUGACAGGUUGGUAAAAAAUCUACCAUCUCGCCACGCCUUCCAGUGCCUGGACACUAAGCUGCUACCACAAGUGCUGCAGCAGAUAUUCACCUCUUCCCUACUGAAUACCAGGUAGCAUCUAAAUAGGUGUGUUAUCACGUUCAGCGGAGCACCGGAGUGCCUAAGCGACCGUGCGGUGGUGAAGGACGCCAUGUUGCGAAACGGCACCAAUCGAGUUGUGGAUGAUGUGAAGAUGUGGGGAAGGUCAAUAGGGAAGAACUGGAUCAUAUCAGUUAAUCUUGUUUUAAAAACUGUCGUUUUUCUAGCUCGCUUGGUGAUUUACUUAUUAGACAUUACAUAACAUAUUUAGGAGUACGCUUCAGCCAUUUUUUUUUUUCGCAUUUUUAUCGCUCUAGAGCUUUGAAAGUCGAGAUUUUCCACGUAAACUUGCAGGAAUUCGUGUUUACUACGGUUUUGCUGGCAGCCAACUUGGAUUUGGAGCCUAGUCCCUAAAAUUUAAGAAUAUCACAGGUCUCCCGCGCGCUCGCUUCAGGCUUUUUUAGACCGUUUAUAAAAUAGACAGCCAUUGAUUGAUAUGAAUCAAUAUCUCGUACUUAAUGUGUAGGUAACCAUUUGUCUUUUUAUUUCGAAUUGGGCAAUGAAUAUCUGAAUAAAUAAUAUUUAAUAGAUGA
Nematostella vectensis (starlet sea anemone) is the source of this 700-nucleotide long non-coding RNA. RefSeq lists it as uncharacterized. The transcript has 2 exons. Lineage: Eukaryota; Metazoa; Cnidaria; Anthozoa; Actiniaria; Edwardsiidae. The record is from RefSeq and is a predicted model, not a curated record.